AUGAACGCUGGCGGCGUGCCUAAUACCUGCAAGUCGAGCGAACAGACGAGGAGCUUGCUCCUCUGACGUUAGCGGCGGACGGGUGAGUAACACGUGGAUAACCUACCUAUAAGACUGGGAUAACUUCGGGAAACCGGAGCUAAUACCGGAUAAUAUAUUGAACCGCAUGGUUCAAUAGUGAAAGACGGUUUUGCUGUCACUUAUAGAUGGAUCCGCGCCGCAUUAGCUAGUUGGUAAGGUAACGGCUUACCAAGGCAACGAUGCGUAGCCGACCUGAGAGGGUGAUCGGCAACACUGGAACUGAGACACGGUCCAGACUCCUACGGGAGGCAGCAGUAGGGAAUCUUCCGCAAUGGGCGAAAGCCUGACGGAGCAACGCCGCGUGAGUGAUGAAGGUCUUCGGAUCGUAAAACUCUGUUAUUAGGGAAGAACAAAUGUGUAAGUAACUAUGCACGUCUUGACGGUACCUAAUCAGAAAGCCACGGCUAACUACGUG
Molecule: ribosomal RNA, 496 nt
Filed under: uncultured bacterium
Lineage: Bacteria
Description: partial 16S ribosomal RNA
Rfam family: Bacterial small subunit ribosomal RNA
Source: RNAcentral